AGUGAGAACUUUAGCAAAGCCAAAUAACUUGUGUUAAGUUAAAAUUGGAAGUCUAUUAAAAUUUUAGGAAUACAUAAUUCUCCGGUUCAGUGAUCGAGACCAAUCUAUUCAGUUCCGCCGAAAUUAAACUAAGUGAGAAACGGGGGUUUAAAACACCCAUUCAGUGAUAUGAAGGCAAACAUGUCUCGUCGUUUGGUCCAAAUCGGUGUUCUCCAUUUCUAGUCAAUAAGACGUUUAAGAGGAUUUUGAUAUCAUUUUAAUUUGCUAUCUACAGUAGACACGUUUUCGAUUUCAUUUGAAUAAUAACUGAAUAAUUACGUGGGCGUUGACUAUAAUAACGUAAGUCUCUAUUCAUAAUUGUAAUCAAAAUCGAUGGAACUUUUUUUCUUCCAUGAAUUUCUGUGGGUGAAGGUUUUGGACCUUAAUACAGUAACAUAACGUUUAUAUCUACUUAUCUUUUCAUUUAAUUUGUUUCACCCCUCGCAAGGCCAAACCAGAAAGCUUCUGAUAAAAUAACGAUUAAUAAUUUAUGUCCAGAAACGGUCCUUUUGGCAAAACGCAGUAAUUUAACCGUGAAAAGAAACCCAACGGUAAUUUUAAAUGGAAAUGAUGUAAGCUUGGUGGAAUAGUAGAAUGUUCGAUACCCCUGAGAAAAGUGUUUAAGUAUUAUAAUUAAUUCCUCGAAUUCACAUUAGGAAAUUUGACGCCUCUAAGAUGAGUAUUAAAAAUUAUAUUUGUUCAUGCUCUACCUCGUUCGAGCCAAGGCGUAAUGAGCGAGUUAUGAGGUAUUCCGCGGUAAGUAAUUGCAGCAAUCAGCGAAAAAACGAGUCUACGCUCGUAAAUUAAUAAUGAUGUUUGAGUUUAAUCGUAGUUAUAUAGCUAGGUGGCAUAACUCACGGUGUUGUUCGUGAUCAGAGGGCAUUGUCGCAGUUAUUGAGCCGUUGAAAAUGAAUGCAAUUCUAUCUGUGGUGAUUCUCUCCGUAACUCUGAUUGUGGUCAACGCGCAAAAUUGCGGCUGGGGAGCUCCAUACGGCGGCUGUAAGUUGAAGGCCAAGCAUUCAUCCAUGGACGGAAGAGAGUCGAGAUCAGGAGCCCCAGGUACACUUCCGGAGCCAGUUUACCGUGAAAUUCCAGAGGACAAUACUAUUACAAGGAAUAAGAUGGCCUUCAAGUUGAAGAACAAAAAGAGUUUGUCCAAAUACCGAUGGCGAGGGCGCUAAUACUUUCUUGGAGGACUUGCACCGGUAAAAAAAGGAAACUGGGGAAUAUGGACAGUUUAGAUUUUAAAAUUAAUGCUGAUAGAGCUUAUCUUUGUACGGUUUGAAAGUAGUGGAUAAAUAACUUGGUGCUUACGAUAAGUAAUUAUGCAUAGAAAUUGAGAAAUUUAAAAAUACGACUAGAAACAGAGGAGAGGAUGCAAAGGUAUUCUUAGAUGACUUGUCGAUACUUUUUCUCCGCUUCUUCUUCACUAAACAAUGUAGAGAAAUUGAAUGUUAAUUAUUGUAAUAAUCUUUAAUUUUUAAAAGUAGAGCUCAUACAUUUGUACUGCUUACGAUCAGUAGAGCGCAUGUAACUAGAUCUAUUAAAGUUUACAGUAAAAAAAGA
This is a long non-coding RNA of Orbicella faveolata, 1605 nucleotides long. The record is from RefSeq and is a predicted model, not a curated record. NCBI's taxonomy places the organism in Eukaryota, Metazoa, Cnidaria, Anthozoa, Scleractinia, Merulinidae.